RNAcentral lists this ribosomal RNA (364 nucleotides) under uncultured Funneliformis. RNAcentral's name for it is "partial 28S ribosomal RNA". The record is from RNAcentral. Lineage: Eukaryota; Fungi; Glomeromycota; Glomeromycetes; Glomerales; Glomeraceae.
GAGAGUUAAACAGUACGUGAAAUUGUUGAAAGGGAAACGAUUGAGGCCAGUCAUGCCUGCGAGAAAUCAAUUAGUCGAUUGGGUUCUUCUGGUGUACUUUCUCGUACGGUUAGUCAACAUCGGUUUUGAAUGUCAUAAAAUGACUGGAGGAAUGUAGCUUCGAUCUCGUAUUGAAGUGUUAUAGCCUUUGGUAGAUGUGAUGUUUGAGACCGAGGAUUGCAACGGAUACCCUUCAGGGCUAUUCGUCUGAUCUCUGAUACGUUGCCCUGAUGUUGAAAGCUUGCUUAUGAUGUUAGGGUAUUACGGUCAAAAGGUUAGAACGAAUUACAUUCGUUAAGGAUGUUGACGUAAUGACUUUAAACGA